Molecule: ribosomal RNA, 372 nt
Filed under: uncultured organism
Description: partial 16S ribosomal RNA
Rfam family: Bacterial small subunit ribosomal RNA
Source: RNAcentral
GGGGGGUGCAAGCGUUAUUCGGAAUCACUGGGCGUAAAGAGCGCGUAGGCGGUCUCUUAAGUCAGAUGUGAAAGCCCGGGGCUCAACCCCGGAAGUGCAUUUGAAACGAAGGGACUUGAGUAUGGGGGAGGGAAGUGGAAUUCCUGGUGUAGCGGUGAAAUGCGUAGAUAUCAGGAGGAACACCGGUGGCGAUGGCGACUUCCUGGACCAAUACUGACGCUGAGGCGCGAAGGCGUGGGGAGCCAACAGGAUUAGAUACCCUGGUAGUCCACGCAGCAAACGUUGAACACUAGGUGUAGCGGGUAUUGACCCCCUGCUGUGCCGCAGCUAACGCAUUAAGUGUUCCGCCUGGGGAGUACGGCCGCAAGGCUA